GGGAAGAAUUUGGGAUCAGAGAAACUGGGUGUGAAGAUAUUGCAAUGGUUCAGGUGAGAAGACAAAGGCUCAGAGAGGUAACACCUGAAGGCCCCAAAGCAUGUCAGCAACACCAGAAGAUCACCGAUCUUCAGCUUUCCAGACGGUGUUUUCCCAGUAUCUGCUGCUGCCUCAGCCAUCCCUCAUCCUUCAGUGCUCCCACACUGCCUGUGACACGUACACACUCAAAUAUCACUCAUGUAUGCACUAAGGUCUCCAGGAAGAUAAUAAUCCCAGAGUGUUAUUCACAGGAAGUGGACAGCACUUCCUUUAUGCACUUUAUACAUAUGAAUGCAUUAAUCCUUACAAUAACCCUGGAGGUAGCUACUACUAUUAUCCCUACACAGACAUGAAUUUGAGCAAGCUCCGGAAGUUGGUGAUGGACAGGGAGGCCUGGCGUGCUGCAGUCCAUGCAAAAAGUCUUAUACGACUGAGCUACUGAACUGAACUAAACGGUUGCACAGUAUUGUAAAUGGGCUUCCCUUGUAGGUCAGUUGAUAAAGAAUCCGCC
Molecule: long non-coding RNA, 550 nt
Organism: Bos taurus (domestic cattle)
Lineage: Eukaryota; Metazoa; Chordata; Mammalia; Artiodactyla; Bovidae
Source: Ensembl